GCCCGUGUAGCUCAGACGGAUAGAGUGUCGCGCUACGAACGCGAAGGUCAGGGGUUCGACUCCCUUCACGGGUA
Molecule: transfer RNA, 74 nt
Filed under: Spirochaetota bacterium
Lineage: Bacteria; Pseudomonadati; Spirochaetota
Description: Spirochaetes bacterium tRNA-Arg
Rfam family: tRNA
About the family: Transfer RNA (tRNA) molecules are approximately 80 nucleotides in length. Their secondary structure includes four short double-helical elements and three loops (D, anti-codon, and T loops).
Source: RNAcentral